This 433-nucleotide ribosomal RNA is filed under the name uncultured bacterium. RNAcentral describes it as "partial 16S ribosomal RNA". It matches the Rfam family "Bacterial small subunit ribosomal RNA", at positions 29 to 507 of the family's 1533-position model. The record is from RNAcentral.
AACGAACGCUGGCGGCAUGCCUAACACAUGCAAGUCGAACGAGACCUUCGGGUCUAGUGGCGCACGGGUGCGUAACGCGUGGGAACCUGCCCUUAGGUUCGGAAUAACUCCCCGAAAGGGGUGCUAAUACAGGAUAAUGUCUUCGGACCAAAGAUUUAUCGCCUUUGGAUGGGCCCGCGUUGGAUUAGCUAGUUGGUAGGGUAAAAGCCUACCAAGGCGACGAUCCAUAGCUGGUCUGAGAGGAUGACCAGCCACACUGGGACUGAGACACGGCCCAGACUCCGACGGGAGGCAGCAGUAGGGAAUAUUGGACGAUGAGCGAAAGCCUGAUCCAGCAAUGCCGCGUGAGUGAUGAAGGCCUUAGGGUUGUAAAGCUCUUUUACCCGGGAUGAUAAUGACAGUACCGGGAGAAUAAGCUCCGGCUAACUCCGUG